RNAcentral lists this transfer RNA (77 nucleotides) under bacterium. Its description in RNAcentral is "tRNA-Val". It matches the Rfam family "tRNA". Rfam says of the family: Transfer RNA (tRNA) molecules are approximately 80 nucleotides in length. Their secondary structure includes four short double-helical elements and three loops (D, anti-codon, and T loops). Further hydrogen bonds mediate the characteristic L-shaped molecular structure. tRNAs have two regions of fundamental functional importance: the anti-codon, which is responsible for specific mRNA codon recognition, and the 3' end, to which the tRNAs corresponding amino acid is attached (by aminoacyl-tRNA synthetases). tRNAs cope with the degeneracy of the genetic code in two manners: having more than one tRNA (with a specific anti-codon) for a particular amino acid; and 'wobble' base-pairing, i.e. permitting non-standard base-pairing at the 3rd anti-codon position. The record is from RNAcentral.
GGGCGAAUAGUUCAGCUGGUCAGAGCGCCUGCCUUACACGCAGGAUGUCACAGGUUCGAAUCCUGUUUCGCCCACCA